UCUGGUGUGAGGAAUCACCGGAAAGCGCUUAGGGUCGAAACAAGGACAGACACCUAGGCGUUUUUCUUU
This is a non-coding RNA of Leptolyngbya sp., 69 nucleotides long. The record is from Rfam. Lineage: Bacteria; Bacillati; Cyanobacteriota; Cyanophyceae; Leptolyngbyales; Leptolyngbyaceae.